Molecule: ribosomal RNA, 253 nt
Filed under: uncultured bacterium
Lineage: Bacteria
Description: partial 16S ribosomal RNA
Rfam family: Bacterial small subunit ribosomal RNA
Source: RNAcentral
UACGUAGGGUGCAAGCGUUAAUCGGAAUUACUGGGCGUAAAGCGUGCGCAGGCGGUUCGCUAAGACAGAUGUGAAAUCCCCGGGCUUAACCUGGGAACUGCAUUUGUGACUGGCGGGCUAGAGUAUGGCAGAGGGGGGUAGAAUUCCACGUGUAGCAGUGAAAUGCGUAGAGAUGUGGAGGAAUACCGAUGGCGAAGGCAGCCCCCUGGGCUGACACUGACGCUCAUGCACGAAAGCGUGGGGAGCAAACAGG